UACGUAGGGGGCAAGCGUUGUCCGGAUUUAUUGGGCGUAAAGAGCGCGCAGGCGGUCGUUCAAGUCGCGUGUGAAAGCCCCCGGCUCAACUGGGGAGGGUCACGCGAUACUGAUCGACUGGAAGGCAGGAGAGGGUAGUGGAAUUCCCGGUGUAGUGGUGAAAUGCGUAGAUAUUCGGAAGAACACCAGUGGCGAAGGCGACUCGCUGGACAAGUAUUGACGCUGAGGUGCGAAAGCGUGGGGAGCAAACAGG
This 253-nucleotide ribosomal RNA is filed under the name uncultured bacterium. Its description in RNAcentral is "partial 16S ribosomal RNA". It matches the Rfam family "Bacterial small subunit ribosomal RNA", at positions 524 to 776 of the family's 1533-position model. The record is from RNAcentral.